This 241-nucleotide long non-coding RNA is filed under the name Mytilus galloprovincialis (Mediterranean mussel). Lineage: Eukaryota; Metazoa; Mollusca; Bivalvia; Mytilida; Mytilidae. The record is from RNAcentral.
GCGAGGUUUAAGAAGUUCGUUUAUUUAAGACCAGUCCAUCUAUAAACAGGAGUUUUGGGAUAAACUCAUCAAUGUAGUGUCCAGUUAUUCGUCCCAUAUCAAAUACUCAGUACUUUUGUAUAUGCGCUUCGGUGAUACUGAUAGGUGAAUAGAGUUCCAUAAUAAUUAUAACGGCAAUCAUCCUUAUCCCACAUAUCUUCAUAUAGACUGUUCUAAUGCAAAUUGAAACAUAAGCUCCGCC